RNAcentral lists this transfer RNA (76 nucleotides) under Anaerolineae bacterium. RNAcentral describes it as "tRNA-His". It matches the Rfam family "tRNA". Rfam says of the family: Transfer RNA (tRNA) molecules are approximately 80 nucleotides in length. Their secondary structure includes four short double-helical elements and three loops (D, anti-codon, and T loops). Further hydrogen bonds mediate the characteristic L-shaped molecular structure. tRNAs have two regions of fundamental functional importance: the anti-codon, which is responsible for specific mRNA codon recognition, and the 3' end, to which the tRNAs corresponding amino acid is attached (by aminoacyl-tRNA synthetases). tRNAs cope with the degeneracy of the genetic code in two manners: having more than one tRNA (with a specific anti-codon) for a particular amino acid; and 'wobble' base-pairing, i.e. permitting non-standard base-pairing at the 3rd anti-codon position. Lineage: Bacteria; Bacillati; Chloroflexota; Anaerolineae. The record is from RNAcentral.
GUGACCAUAGCUCAAUUGGCAGAGCAUCUGGUUGUGGCCCAGAAGGCUGCGGGUUCGAGUCCCGCUGGUCACCCCU